Long non-coding RNA from Aegilops tauschii subsp. strangulata, 964 nucleotides. RefSeq lists it as uncharacterized. The record is from RefSeq and is a predicted model, not a curated record. NCBI's taxonomy places the organism in Eukaryota, Viridiplantae, Streptophyta, Magnoliopsida, Poales, Poaceae.
CUUCUUCUCAACGAAAGAAAGGGUCCUAGCCUGGAUCCAAAACAGAGCUAUCAUGGCAAAGCAAUGAACGCAAGAACGGAAGUGGUAAAGAAGAGGGAGGAGAGAGGCGUACCAGGCAGUCUCCAUCAGGUGGCGUUCAUCAUGGUUUGGUCAUUUGAUUCAAGAUCAUCUUUGAGACUGGUCAUCAUCAAGCAGAUGGCCUUCGAUACGAUUCAAUCGAUCAGAUCGGGAGAGGAAAAACAUUCAACAAGAUCGGUCCACGUGGGGCGAAGCGAGGCAUGGCUGGUUAAUCGAAGCGAGGCAGGGCUAUGAUGUAUUCAGUCAGUAAUGGCCUCGCUCCCGUCACAACCAGGCAUCCAGCCAAAAUCCACAGUUUAACAGGGCCAUCACAUGGAUGAUUGGCCGGGAGGAGAACUGCAAAAAGAUAUGUUGCUGCAAAAUCAGUGUUCAGUGUCGGAGUUUGAGAUAGGUCGAUUUCCUGCAGUAGCCUCGGUUGAUCUAUCUUUGGCCUCUGAAUGGCGGUGUGUUCUCUUUUGAGAAAAAUCGGCCUAGAAUGGCGUUGUGUUCUCUUUUGAGAAAAAAAGGGCGUUGUGUACUUGUAUUUUGCAAUUACGACGGCUAUGUCCCUCGAAGCCUGCUGAAAAGAAGUCCUUCUAUGCAUGUGGAUAUUGCUUCGGGCGUUGUCUUGUUCAGUGAGAAGUCCUUCUAUGCAUGUGGAUAUUGCUUCAGAACCUAUGUGAGAAGAGACUCAAGUACACUCUUUUAGUACAACCGCAGCUUCUUCUGGCUUGCUUAUAAAUAUCUGGCUAUGUCUUGCAUUCAAGCUACCCAUAAGUUCUAUGCUGCUGUACCAAUACACAAUUUUUUAGGAUUGACUUUUGGUAACAUCAAUGUAUCAAUUCUUCUAAACCCUUCUAUCUGCUCAUUUUUGAAGCUCCCGUAAUGAAAACUUUUUUCUUCUAAA